Molecule: ribosomal RNA, 365 nt
Filed under: uncultured eukaryote
Lineage: Eukaryota
Description: partial 18S ribosomal RNA
Rfam family: Eukaryotic small subunit ribosomal RNA
Source: RNAcentral
CAAUAGCGUAUAUUUAAGUUGUUGCAGUUAAAAAGCUCGUAGUCGGAUUUUGGCUGAGAACGAUCGGUCCGCCGUUAGGUGUGCACUGAUUGGUCUCAGCUUCCUGGUGAGGAGGUGUGCUUCACGGCCACUUAGUCACCGUGGUUACUUUGAAAAAAUUAGAGUGUUCAAAGCGGGCUUACGCUUGAAUAUAUUAGCAUGGAAUAACACCAUAGGACUCCUGUCCUAUUUCGUUGGUCUCGGGACGGGAGUAAUGAUUAAGAGGAACAGUUGGGGGCAUUCGUAUUUCAUUGUCAGAGGUGAAAUUCUUGGAUUUAUGAAAGACGAACUUCUGCGAAAGCAUUUGCCAAGGAUGUUUUCGUUGA